Molecule: microRNA precursor, 90 nt
Organism: Gorilla gorilla gorilla (western lowland gorilla)
Lineage: Eukaryota; Metazoa; Chordata; Mammalia; Primates; Hominidae
Source: Ensembl
CUGUGGGCUGGGCCAGGGAGCAGCUGGUGGCUGGGAAGUAAGAUCUGACCUGGACCCCAUCCCACCCACCCCCUGUUUCCUGGCCCACAG